UAAUAGACUACCCCGGUAGUCCACGCCCUAAACGACUGCGAACUGGAUGUUGGGUACAUUACGGUACGUCAGGUGUCGAAGCUAACGCGUUAAGUUCGCCGCCUGGGGAGUACGGUCGCAAGACUGAAACUCAAAGGAAUUGACGGGGGCCCGCACAAGCGGUGGAGUAUGUGGUUUAAUUCGAUGCAACGCGAAGAACCUUACCUGGCCUUGACAUCUGUCGAAUCCUGCAGAGAUGCGGGAGUGCCGCAAGGAACGACAAGACAGGUGCUGCAUGGCUGUCGUCAGCUCGUGUCGUGAGAUGUUGGGUUAAGUCCCGCAACGAGCGCAACCCUUGUCCCUAGUUGCCAGCACGUAAUGGUGGGAACUCUAGGGAGACUGCCGGUGACAAACCGGAGGAAGGUGGGGAUGACGUCAAGUCCUCAUGGCCCUUACGGCCAGGGCUACACACGUACUACAAUGGUCGGUACAGAGGGUUGCGAAGCCGCGAGGUGGAGCCAAUCCCAGAAAACCGAUCCCAGUCCGGAUCGGAGUCUGCAACUCG
RNAcentral lists this ribosomal RNA (544 nucleotides) under uncultured bacterium. Its description in RNAcentral is "bacterial SSU rRNA". It matches the Rfam family "Bacterial small subunit ribosomal RNA", at positions 776 to 1314 of the family's 1533-position model. The record is from RNAcentral.